Molecule: long non-coding RNA, 208 nt
Filed under: Mytilus galloprovincialis (Mediterranean mussel)
Lineage: Eukaryota; Metazoa; Mollusca; Bivalvia; Mytilida; Mytilidae
Source: RNAcentral
AUCUUGAAUAUAAUAACGGCAGAUUUAACAACACUUUCCCUGUGUUUAGCAAUGUUCUUAAACCUUAAAAUAUCAGUAGGAAUGUCAGUUCAGUCCCCCCCCAAAAAAAAAUACAAAAAAAACAGUAUGCACGUUGACCAUAUUUAGAUAUAACAGUAUGACGUAGAACCAUGCCAUUUCCAUGAGUCAACCCGAAUGCACGUCCGCA